UCCACCUACAUCCACACCUCCUCCAUCACUGUCCUCCACUGCUCUCUCUGUGUUGUCAUUUCUUAAAUCAAUCUGUGGGUUCUUACUGGUGUUACUGGUUCUGUUAGGGAGACCAUGUGUUCACAGGAAACUUGAAGCUGAUGGGGGAGAAGUUGGAGAUAAUGACAUCACAUACAGUGAGAGAAAAUCUCAAAUCAUCGGCAACAGCCAAUCAGAGGAAGCAGAGAGAGUGAUCCCGUUCCUGUCCACUCAGCCCUGAGAACUGAAGACAUCAGUUAUGGACAAACAGCUGUUUGAACAAACACACUCUGGUACAGCUGCUCUUUAUUCACUAAAAACAGAGUAAUUAUUUUU
Molecule: non-coding RNA, 354 nt
Organism: Neolamprologus brichardi
Lineage: Eukaryota; Metazoa; Chordata; Actinopteri; Cichliformes; Cichlidae
Source: RefSeq, a predicted model, not a curated record